Long non-coding RNA from Belonocnema kinseyi, 1937 nucleotides. RefSeq lists it as uncharacterized. The record is from RefSeq and is a predicted model, not a curated record. Lineage: Eukaryota; Metazoa; Arthropoda; Insecta; Hymenoptera; Cynipidae. The transcript has 3 exons.
ACGAAAGAUUAUAAUCAUUCACAGCUGUUCGCGGUGUGCGAUAUUUACAAUUUGUUUUCCACAAUUAUCUCUCUUAGUAGGCCGAGAAUUUAUAUUAUUUGAAUUUUCAAAAUAUACUGGAUUAUUGUGAAAAGUUUCAUUUUUAAUAAUCUGGACGUAGAUUAUAUCAUCCUCUAUAGAAGCCAUAACCCCUUCUGAUGGGGCCCGAUCAAAUGAUAUCAAUAAGUUUGGAGCGGGCACACCCCCGAUCAAUAUAAAGCGAUUGAGAUAAUCUAUUGUAACACCAUUACCUAAUAACCAAUCAUUUCCUAUUAAAACCGGAUUUGCUAACUGAGCGUGGGAUACAAGUAUCAAGUAUUUUGGCCAUGGACAAUUAAGAAUAACUAGAUCAAUAUAAAUUACUACAGGUAUAUAUUUGAAGGGAAAUGACAAAGCAUCGAACGCAGCACAGUAAUUCGGCGAUUAAAAGGGUAGUUCUACCACGCUAUGUCAAGAGACUCAGUAAGUCACAACGUGUACAGGUGCUAGACCAUUAAAAAGAGGAGGCCCUUAUUAUCAGAGCAGAAACCAUAGAGGAAUUAGCAACGCAAUGCAGACAAGAAGCCGUCCACGGCGAACUCCCUAAACUGUUCGAUCCAAUAUUUCACUGAAAAGGGGCGUCCUGUUUCCAGAAACGGAAGUACUCGUCAUUUCAAUUCAGGACAGGGUUAGCAGCACUAGGAAUGUUUGGAAACACGUUUCACAUCAAUACGUGUUUGAACGGUGCCGAUUAUGUGGAGAUACCAACCAAUCUGAUGAGCACAUUAUUUCUGAAUGUCGCAUAAUGAGUCAGAAAGAAUAUACGCACAGACAUAAUGAUCUGGCGGGCAUCAUACAUCAACAACUUGCCGUUAACUUAUUUACGCACUUUUCGAGAUUAUCAGGAAACGAGCGACUGAAAACCUGUGGUAUAGCCGAUGGUAGCUCUAAGAAAGUAUUUUAAGAUGACUGUUGUCACCUCCAGCGCUUGUGACCUUACCAGGCAGUAUGCCGCGUAAGGUUAUCCGCAGCAAGAAACCGGUCAGAGUGGACAGAAAGAAAAGAAGUGGGUGACGUACAAGUUUCGGUUGCGCCGAGUUGCAUUAAGCUAACUCCUCAAUGCAAAGAAUUAUGCGGUUAGGCCAUCAAUAUCGCACAGUGCCACCCUCAAUAGGUCUCUCUCGGAUGGAGGCUAUGGCUCAAUAAAAAGUCGUAAUAGAAAUGAAUCAAAGUGUCGGCCAGGCAAAGGCCCCAGCCAAACACGAGAACAUCGUUUCAAAUGGUCAAAUCAAAUCGGGAGGGACAUCCUUACUUAUUGGAAGGAAGUUUAUUGGCGCGAAGAAAAUACAUGUGGAGGUUAUAUGGACUUUUAGUCACUAACAUGUUGCCGAUGAGUACAUAACUCUUGCAAUCAGCGUACAAACGUUAUUUUAAUCACUUUUCAGUCACCUUGCUAUCAUUAAAAAUCAUCGUAAAAUCACUUUUAAUCAAUAACAAUCCCUUGAAAUAAUUCACAAUCCCUUGCGAUUAUUUGAAACAACUUGAAUACAUUCUAAAAACAUAUGAAAUCAACAAUCAUUUUGAAAUCACUACUUAAUCACCAUGAUAUCACGAACAGUCAAAUGUAAUCAUUUGGCUUACACAUACAUCUUACAACAACAAAAAAAAGAAUUUCCGUUUUAAAAUGUUGCUUAACAAAUCAAUUUAUAAAAUUUAUACCUUAUAUUCAAUGCGUCUAUCUUUUCAAUUGUUAUAAUUUAAUGCGAUAAAUUGCAUGGAAGUACAAAAUAAAGUAUUGCCCCAUGUAAUUCAUAUUAUUUCUUGGCCCUCGGCGUGCAUACAUCUUGCCAGAUGACGUACAUUGGGCCAGGGAACAUCAAAACUGGCAAAAAUUCCAUUUUACGUCCAUGUGUCUAAUA